Molecule: ribosomal RNA, 271 nt
Filed under: uncultured bacterium
Lineage: Bacteria
Description: partial 16S ribosomal RNA
Rfam family: Bacterial small subunit ribosomal RNA
Source: RNAcentral
CAAAUCCUACGGGGGGCAGCAGUGGGGAAUAUUGCACAAUGGGGGAAACCCUGAUGCAGCGACGCCGCGUGAAGGAAGAAGUAUUUCGGUAUGUAAAGCCCUAUCAGCAGGGAAGAAGAAAUGACGGUACCUGAGUAAGAAGCACCGGCUAAAUACGUGCCAGCAGCCGCGGUAAUACGUAUGGUGCAAGCGUUAUCCGGAUUUACUGGGUGUAAAGGGAGCGCAGGCGGCACGGCAAGCCUGAUGUGAAAGCCCGCGGCCCAACCGCGGG